GACGAACGCUGGCGGCGUGCUUAACACAUGCAAGUCGAACGAAGAGCGAUGGACGCUUGCUUCUAUCAAUCUUAGUGGCGAACGGGUGAGUAACGCGUAAUCAACCUGCCCUUCAGAGGGGGACAACAGUUGGAAACGACUGCUAAUACCGCAUACGAUCUAAUCUCGGCAUCGAGGAUAGAUGAAAGGUGGCCUCUACAUGUAAGCUAUCACUGAAGGAGGGGAUUGCGUCUGAUUAGCUAGUUGGAGGGGUAACGGCCCACCAAGGCGAUGAUCAGUAGCCGGUCUGAGAGGAUGAACGGCCACAUUGGGACUGAGACACGGCCCAGACUCCUACGGGAGGCAGCAGUGGGGAAUCUUCCGCAAUGGACGAAAGUCUGACGGAGCAACGCCGCGUGAGUGAUGACGGCCUUCGGGUUGUAAAGCUCUGUUAAUCGGGACGAAAGGCCUUCUUGCGAACAGUUAGAAGGAUUGACGGUACCGGAAUAGAAAGCCACGGCUAACUACGUG
This 510-nucleotide ribosomal RNA is filed under the name uncultured bacterium. RNAcentral's name for it is "partial 16S ribosomal RNA". It matches the Rfam family "Bacterial small subunit ribosomal RNA", at positions 28 to 507 of the family's 1533-position model. The record is from RNAcentral.